UUCAACUCCUAGAAUUCCUCCUCCAGUCAUGUUAAUGCAGGAAUUAUGGGAGUUGAAGUCCACAAGUCUUAAACUUGCCAAGUUUGGAGACCCUUGGUCUAGAAGUAAAAAAGAUGUUCGGACACCAUUUCGUUCUCCAUCUCAUUUCCUUUGGGCCCUGCAAGAGAUUAAAUCCCACGGGUACCGAUUCAGCAGCUGAGAGGAAGAAGACCGAGGGAUCAAAUAUGCAUCCUUUUGAUAUAUAUAUGAUUAUUUUUUCCAAAAGACAGGUUUCGAAAAAGGCUGAGCGUGGUGAGACUUUGAAGAUAGAAAAUGUCCAGCUGAGGUUUACAGUUUACAGCCUGAUUGAAAACCUGCACUCACCUGGUUGCAAAAUCCAGAGUCACGAUGUUUUCGGAUCAAAUUUCUUUUAAGUCUGGAGAAUCCUGUCUCAAAUUUCAGCCAAGAUGAUGGACAAAACUGGAAACGACACAGCCAUUGGACAUCACCUGAUGAACCACCACGGUGGCUCUUUCACUACUGCCCCAAAUCUCAGAUUUACUCCUUAACACCUCCAGGAAAACAGUGAAAGAGCUGCUCUUUGGGAAACAAUCGGGAACCACUGCAGCAAAUUAACUCAACCUUCCUCAGUCUGGGGUUGGACUGCAGCUGCCCGAAUCUUCAGACAGUUAAUCCAACCUCUGUCAGGCUUAUUGGCAGCUGCCUAAAAGUGAGCCCUUUCCAUGCGUCAUGCUCACGGUUUUCUUUAGCAAGAUUUAUCGAAAGGGAUGGCGUGGGGUUUACAAGAAUUUGAAGAACUGUUUAUUAGAACUAAUCUCUCCCCAUACACGUUAUGGAAAGACUUUAUGUUUCUCUUUCUGGAUGGAUUGACAAGGACUAUUCACCAAGCUGGCAGCUGACUGUUUCUAAAACUGCCCCCUGAAUCUUUAUCGGUCUUACAUCCCUGGCAGUUUCAGUUUGGAGGCUGAUCUUCCUAAUCAAUUAUUCCUCAAAGCUUUCCAAUUUGAUAAGUUCCCCUCCCCCCCCAUGCAAAAAUUGAGUGAAAUCAGCUGCAUGGAGAGCAGAGUACAGAAUGAAUGUUUUGCAUUGGAUCUCAGCACCUAAAUCUAAUAUAAGUUAUUUGAUUUGAGUUCUUUGGAUUAGUAAGGAGAGAUUAGCUGUGAAGGAGACCAGAUUGUUAUUCAGCAUUAUUAAUGAUGUUGCCUAUUCUUAGAUUCCCCCAAACUAGAAAACUAAUACAUUUUGCUUAUUGGAGGGUGUGGGAGAAGCACGGAGUAAUCUAACAUAUAUAAAUUCUUUAAAGUAUUUAAUAUGUGUUAAGAAGACAGCAUGAUAAAUUCAAUAUUGAAAAGCAAUAUCAGGUUUACAAUUAUUUGCCAUUUAUCAUCGCUGAUUGUGCAGACAGUAUCUUACCGAGAAGAAUAAAGCGAUUCAUAAAGAGGGUUUUGGUAGAGAAGAAAGAAAAUAAAAACAAGGGAGAAGACAGAUGCAAUCUAUGCAUCCCUUUGCUACCGUUUUCACCAAACCAUUAUUUGUUCUUCCAAGAGACAAACUGUGUCUGGAUUUUGUGUGUGUUUGUGUGUGUCUGUGUAAUUGCUUUCACUUGGAUAUUAGAGAUAUGAUAAAUUUAUUAAGGAUGACCCCUGACACAUUUUCUGAACAGUGCCCUGAAAGCAGAUUUUUCUCCAAAGAUCUGAGUUUUUCCAUUUUCAGAGGUAAAUAGAGCUCUCCCAAAUCCUUGGCUUCAAGAACUGAUUUCUUUGAAGGUUACUUACAAUGAAGAAGGCAAUCUCUCUCUCUCUCUCUCUCUCUCUCACACACACACACACACACACACACACUGGCAGAAGACAAGAAAAUUCUGUUUCUAGUUCAUCUGUGAUGUUUUUAGAAAUGAUUCUUGUUAAAAGUUGUCUCACUGGUGUAGCUGUGUGGCUGAAAGGGCAUACGUGUCAAACCACCACAUACGAAGUUCUGUUAGUUUUCCAAAUCAUGUGAACUGAAUCUUUGUGGCUUGUCAAGAAGAGUUUAUUGCUUUAUGUGAUACAAGAAUGGAAUGGAAAGGAAUUCUUUACUGGCCAAGUGUGAUCGGACACACAAGGAAUUUGUCUUCGGUGCAAAUGCUCUCAGUGUGCAUAAAAGAAAAGAUGCAUUCAUCAAGAGUCAAGAAUCGUCAGGUACAAGACUUAAUGGUAGUCAUAGGGUACAAGAAGCAAUCAAAUCAUAUUAGGAAACAGUCAAUAUAAAUUGUAAGGAUACAAGCAACAAGGUUACAGUCAUACAGUCAAAAGUGGGAGGGGAUGGGUGGUGAGUGAUGAGAAGAUUAAUAGUAAUAGUAGUGCAGAGUUUGUAAAUAGUUGGACAGGGUUGAGGGAAUUAUUUCUUUAGCAGAGUGAUGGCGUUUGGGAAAAAACCUGGCCUUGUGUCUAGUUGUUCUGGUGUGCAGUGCUCUAUAGCAUCGUUUUGAGGGUGGAGAAUACAGAAUAACACAGCUGGAAAGGAUCUUGGAGGUUUUUUAGUUUAACCCCCCUGCUCAAGCUGGAAGACCCUAUCCCAUUCCAGACAAAUGGCUGUCCAGUCUCUUCUUAAAAGCCUCCACUGAUCGAGCACCCACAACUUCUGGAGGGAAGCUAUUCCAUUGGUUAAUUGUUCUAUCAGGAAAUUUCUCCUUAGUUCUAGGUUGAUACUUCAAUACUUUCCAUCUGAUACUUCUUGUCUUGCCUUCAAGUGUUCUGGAGAUUAGGUUGACCCCCCUCUUCUUUGGGACAGCCCUUCAAAUAUUGGAAGACCAGUAUCAUGUCACCCCUAGUUCUUCUCUUCAUUGGCCUAGACACAAUUCAAUUCAAUGAACUUCAAUUGUUCACAUCUUCGUCUAGGCCUAGGAAAAUUUUUGGGAAUCUGAACUGCCUUUGCAUAUAACCUACCUAGAAGACAUUUAAUGUAGAUGUAUAUGUCCCUAUGUAGACAGACACAAAUCAAAUUGCUGGCCACAAUUGCCCAAAGUCACACCAGGUUGUCAAUGGAACUUAAAAACAAAGAAGAGUCAGAAUAUUAUGAGAUUUGGAAUUUUUGGUAUAGUUGGCUGGAAGGUAGAUAUGAAAAGAAGAAAACAAAGUCAAAUAAAAAGGUAUGAUGGAAAUUAGUAACAUUACAUGUCACUAUGUUUGUAAUAUAUAAUUAGAUGAAACUUUGUGUUAUAUGUUAUAAGUAAUAAGCGUGAAUGAUUAUUCUACAUAAUUUAAGAGAUGUCAGAUUGAACACUGUUUUGCUUACGUUGCGACAAGUCGAAUGUUUGGUUUUAUUUUAUUUGUAUAAAUUGG
This 3320-nucleotide long non-coding RNA is filed under the name Naja naja (Indian cobra). RNAcentral describes it as "lncRNA (ENSNNAG00000010784.1)". Lineage: Eukaryota; Metazoa; Chordata; Lepidosauria; Squamata; Elapidae. The record is from RNAcentral.